UGCGUAGGCGGAGGCGUAAGCCAGUGGUGAAAGCCCACAGCUCAACUGUGGAAUUGCCAUUGGAACUGCAUCUCUUGAAUGUGAUCGGGGUCGGCGGAAUGUGUCAUGUAGCGGUGAAAUGCAUAGAUAUGACACAGAACACCGAUAGCGAAGGCAGCUGACCAGAUCAUCAUUGACGCUGAGGCACGAAAGCGUGGGGAGCGAACAGGAUUAGAUACCCUGGUAGUCC
RNAcentral lists this ribosomal RNA (229 nucleotides) under uncultured bacterium. RNAcentral's name for it is "partial 16S ribosomal RNA". It matches the Rfam family "Bacterial small subunit ribosomal RNA", at positions 568 to 796 of the family's 1533-position model. The record is from RNAcentral.